This 430-nucleotide ribosomal RNA is filed under the name Pseudomonadota bacterium. Its description in RNAcentral is "Proteobacteria bacterium partial 16S ribosomal RNA". It matches the Rfam family "Bacterial small subunit ribosomal RNA", at positions 355 to 776 of the family's 1533-position model. Lineage: Bacteria; Pseudomonadati; Pseudomonadota. The record is from RNAcentral.
UGGGGAAUAUUGGACAAUGGGGGGAACCCUGAUCCAGCCAUGCCGCGUGUGUGAAGAAGGCCUUAUGGUUGUAAAGCACUUUAAGCGAGGAGGAGGGUACUGGUAUUAAUACUACCAGCUACUGGACGUUACUCGCAGAAUAAGCACCGGCUAACUCUGUGCCAGCAGCCGCAGUAAUACAGAGGGUGCGAGCGUUAAUCGGAUUUACUGGGCGUAAAGCGUGCGUAGGCGGCUAAUUGAGUCGGAUGUGAAAUCCCCGAGCUUAACUUGGGAAUUGCAUUCGAUACUGGUUAGCUAGAGUGUGGGAGAGGAUGGUAGAAUUCCAGGUGUAGCGGUGAAAUGCGUAGAGAUCUGGAGGAAUACCGAUGGCGAAGGCAGCCAUCUGGCCUAACACUGACGCUGAGGUACGAAAGCAUGGGGAGCAAACAGG